This 349-nucleotide RNase P RNA is filed under the name uncultured Faecousia sp. RNAcentral describes it as "Bacterial RNase P class A". It matches the Rfam family "Bacterial RNase P class A". From Rfam's summary of the family: Ribonuclease P (RNase P) is a ubiquitous endoribonuclease, found in archaea, bacteria and eukarya as well as chloroplasts and mitochondria. Its best characterised activity is the generation of mature 5'-ends of tRNAs by cleaving the 5'-leader elements of precursor-tRNAs. The record is from RNAcentral. Lineage: Bacteria; Bacillati; Bacillota; Clostridia; Eubacteriales; Oscillospiraceae.
CAGGCUGGACAGCCGCGGACUCAUGCCGAAAGGCGGAGGAUGAGGAAAGUCCGGGCUCCACAGGGCAGGGAUAACGGGUAACGCCCGCCGGGGGUGACCCCAGGACAAGUGCAACAGAGAGAUACCGCUGCGAGUAUCUUCGGAUGCCGCGCAGUAAGGAUGAAAAGGUGUGGUAAGAGCGCACCCGGCUUAUGGUAACAUAAGUUUUACGAUGUAAACUCUAUCCCGGAGCAACGCCGUGGAGGGACUUAUGAUCGGCCCGAUCGUCCCGAGGAGGCGGCUUGAUCCCAGGAGCGAUCCUGGGGCUAGAUAGAUGGCUGUCAAGACAGAACCCGGCUUACAGGCCUGC